CUCUUUCCUCCAAACAUUGUGCAUGGUUUAACAUUGGACUACAAAUCAUUUGUUGUUUUUUCAAAUCUAUAUGAAGAUGUACAAAAACACAACAGAUUCCACCACAUCUUUGUUUGUUUAUUUACAUGGAACAAAGCCAAAAUUGAAAAGUUCUGAAAUCUUUUUGUAUUGGUUUCAUUUUAAAAUUGAUUCUGGAAUUUUUCAUCUGAAAGCAUAGCUGGUUUCCAGGCAGAUGAUGCUGCACUGUUUAAAACCAUUCUGGUUCGGUGGCUUGUGAGACGACAUUUUCAAUCUGCAGAGGAAAGUUCAUCAUCUACAAAGAAACAAGGUGAUUCCUGGAUAGAGAAGCAGAUCAGAGUGUGACCAACAGCAAAAUGUCGUCACUGGAAGAGACCCAGACCUGCAAAAAUGAGGAGAAGGCUGAGAAUGAAUUGAGUGUCAGGCCUGUGGAUCGACCUACCAAGAAGGCAAAGAAGCAGCACUUCUCUGACCAGUGUGACAAGAUCAAUGUUGAGAUAUCACCAGUGGAUCCACACGGGAGAAAAGCCUUUUCCCGGUGACCAGUGUGGGAAAUGUUUUAGUCAGUUAGGGAAUCUGAAAGAUCACCUGUGGAUCCACACUAGGGAGCAGCAUUAACGUGUGUGACCAGCACAAAGAGUUCUGUGUUCAUUGUAACCUUGAUGUCACCAAUGGGCUCAAAACAUUGUUUAAAUAAUAUAUUUAUGCAUUC
Long non-coding RNA from Nothobranchius furzeri (turquoise killifish), 730 nucleotides. RefSeq lists it as uncharacterized. The record is from RefSeq and is a predicted model, not a curated record. Lineage: Eukaryota; Metazoa; Chordata; Actinopteri; Cyprinodontiformes; Nothobranchiidae.